UGACCCGGACGUGUUUGAACAGCCAACCUUCUUAUCUGGAGUCAGACGCGCUACCGUUGCGCCACCGAGUC
Non-coding RNA from Araneus ventricosus, 71 nucleotides. Lineage: Eukaryota; Metazoa; Arthropoda; Arachnida; Araneae; Araneidae. The record is from the annotation of a GenBank genome assembly.